This 250-nucleotide ribosomal RNA is filed under the name uncultured bacterium. RNAcentral's name for it is "partial 16S ribosomal RNA". It matches the Rfam family "Bacterial small subunit ribosomal RNA", at positions 524 to 773 of the family's 1533-position model. The record is from RNAcentral.
UACGUAGGGGGCGGGCGUUGUCCGGAUCUACUGGGCGUAAAGGAUGCGUAGGCGGAUAUUUAAGUCAGAUGUGAAAUACCCGGGCUCAACUUGGGUGCUGCAUUUGAAACUGGAUAUCUAGAGUGCGGGAGAGGUAAGUGGAGUUCCUAGUGUAGCGGUGAAAUGCGUAGACAUCAAGAGGAACACCUGAGGCGAAGGCGGGUUGCUAGGCUGACACUGACGCUGAGGCGCGAAAGCCAGGGGAGCAAAC